ACGGGUGAGUAAUGUCUGGGGAUCUGCCCGAUAGAGGGGGAUAACCACUGGAAACGGUGGCUAAUACCGCAUAACGUCGCAAGACCAAAGAGGGGGACCUUCGGGCCUCUCACUAUCGGAUGAACCCAGAUGGGAUUAGCUAGUAGGCGGGGUAACGGCCCACCUAGGCGACGAUCCCUAGCUGGUCUGAGAGGAUGACCAGCCACACUGGAACUGAGACACGGUCCAGACUCCUACGGGAGGCAGCAGUGGGGAAUAUUGCACAAUGGGCGCAAGCCUGAUGCAGCCAUGCCGCGUGUAUGAAGAAGGCCUUCGGGUUGUAAAGUACUUUCAGCGGGGAGGAAGGCGAUGUGGUUAAUAACCGCAUUGAUUGACGUUACCCGCAGAAGAAGCACCGGCUAACUCCGUGCCAGCAGCCGCGGUAAUACGGAGGGUGCAAGCGUUAAUCGGAAUUACUGGGCGUAAAGCGCACGCAGGCGGUCUGUUAAGUCAGAUGUGAAAUCCCCGGGCUUAACCUGGGAACUGCAUUUGAAACUGGCAGGCUUGAGUCUCGUAGAGGGGGGUAGAAUUCCAGGUGUAGCGGU
RNAcentral lists this ribosomal RNA (584 nucleotides) under uncultured bacterium. Its description in RNAcentral is "bacterial SSU rRNA". It matches the Rfam family "Bacterial small subunit ribosomal RNA", at positions 102 to 682 of the family's 1533-position model. The record is from RNAcentral.